GACGAACGCUGGCGGCGUGCUUAACACAUGCAAGUCGAACGGAAAGGCCCUGCUUUUGUGGGGUGCUCGAGUGGCGAACGGGUGAGUAACACGUGAGUAACCUGCCCUUGACUUUGGGAUAACUUCAGGAAACUGGGGCUAAUACCGGAUAGGGGCUCCUGCUGCAUGGUGGGGGUUGGAAAGUUUCGGCGGUUGGGGAUGGACUCGCGGCUUAUCAGCUUGUUGGUUGGGUAGUGGCUUACCAAGGCUUUGACGGGUAGCCGGCCUGAGAGGGUGACCGGCCACAUUGGGACUGAGAUACGGCCCAGACUCCUACGGGAGGCAGCAGUGGGGAAUAUUGCACAGUGGGCGGAAGCCUGAUGCAGCAACGCCGCGUGCGGGAUGACGGCCUUCGGGUUGUAAACCGCUUUCGCCUGUGACGAAGCGUGAGUGACGGUAAUGGGUAAAGAAGCACCGGCUAACUACGUG
This 468-nucleotide ribosomal RNA is filed under the name uncultured bacterium. Its description in RNAcentral is "partial 16S ribosomal RNA". It matches the Rfam family "Bacterial small subunit ribosomal RNA", at positions 28 to 507 of the family's 1533-position model. The record is from RNAcentral.